CUCAGGAUGAACGCUAGCUACAGGCUUAACCACAUGCAAGUCGAGGGGCAGCAUGGACAUAGCUUGCUAUGUUUGAUGGCGACCGGCGCACGGGUGCGUAACACGUAUCCAAUCUGCCCGUUAUCGGGGAUAGCCUUNUGAAAGGAAGAUUAAUACCCGAUGGCAUGUAUUUCCGGCAUCGGAGAUACAUUAAAGAUUUAUCGGUAACGGAUGAGGAUGCGUACGAUUAGCUUGUUGGCGGGGUAACGGCCCACCAAGGCGACGAUCGUUAGGGGUUCUGAGAGGAAGGUCCCCCACACUGGAACUGAGACACGGUCCAGACUCCUACGGGAGGCAGCAGUGAGGAAUAUUGGUCAAUGGUCGGAAGACUGAACCAGCCAAGUAGCGUGAAGGAUGACUGCCCUACGGGUUGUAAACUUCUUUUGUUUGGGAAUAAAAGACGCUACGUGUAGCGUUCUGCAUGUACCUUACGAAUAAGCAUCGGCUAAUUCCGUG
RNAcentral lists this ribosomal RNA (495 nucleotides) under uncultured bacterium. RNAcentral describes it as "bacterial SSU rRNA". It matches the Rfam family "Bacterial small subunit ribosomal RNA", at positions 23 to 507 of the family's 1533-position model. The record is from RNAcentral.